RNAcentral lists this ribosomal RNA (483 nucleotides) under uncultured bacterium. RNAcentral's name for it is "partial 16S ribosomal RNA". It matches the Rfam family "Bacterial small subunit ribosomal RNA", at positions 30 to 506 of the family's 1533-position model. The record is from RNAcentral.
AUUGAACGCUGGCGGCAGGCCUAACACAUGCAAGUCGAGCGGAUGAAGGGAGCUUGCUCCUGGAUUCAGCGGCGGACGGGUGAGUAAUGCCUAGGAAUCUGCCUGGUAGUGGGGGAUAACGUCCGGAAACGGGCGCUAAUACCGCAUACGUCCUGAGGGAGAAAGUGGGGGAUCUUCGGACCUCACGCUAUCAGAUGAGCCUAGGUCGGAUUAGCUAGUUGGUGGGGUAAAGGCCUACCAAGGCGACGAUCCGUAACUGGUCUGAGAGGAUGAUCAGUCACACUGGAACUGAGACACGGUCCAGACUCCUACGGGAGGCAGCAGUGGGGAAUAUUGGACAAUGAGCGAAAGCCUGAUCCAGCCAUGCCGCGUGUGUGAAGAAGGUCUUCGGAUUGUAAAGCACUUUAAGUUGGGAGGAAGGGCAGUAAGUUAAUACCUUGCUGUUUUGACGUUACCAACAGAAUAAGCACCGGCUAACUUCGU